CCUACGUGCGGCAGCAGUGAGGAAUAUUGGUCAAUGGCCGGAAGGCUGAACCAGCCAAGCCGCGUGAAGGACGAAGGUGCCAAGCAUUGUAAACUUCUUUUGUCAAGGGACAAAAUCAGGCUCGAGAGCCUGACCGAGGGUACUUGAAGAAAAAGCAUCGGCUAACUCCGUGCCAGCAGCCGCGGUAAUACGGAGGAUGCGAGCGUUAUCCGGAUUUAUUGGGUUUAAAGGGUGCGUAGGCGGACUGUUAAGUCAGCGGUAAAAGCCCGGGGCUCAACCAUAAAAUUGCCGUUGAAACUGGUUGACUUGAGUAUAUUUGAGGUAGGCGGAAUGCGUGGUGUAGCGGUGAAAUGCAUAGAUAUCACGCAGAACUCCGAUUGCGAAGGCAGCUUACUAAACUAUAACUGACACUGAAGCACGAAAGCGUGGGGAUCAAACAGGAUUAGAUACCCUUGUAGUC
RNAcentral lists this ribosomal RNA (460 nucleotides) under uncultured bacterium. Its description in RNAcentral is "partial 16S ribosomal RNA". It matches the Rfam family "Bacterial small subunit ribosomal RNA", at positions 338 to 795 of the family's 1533-position model. The record is from RNAcentral.